Molecule: ribosomal RNA, 436 nt
Rfam family: Bacterial small subunit ribosomal RNA
ACGGGAGGCAGCAGUGGGGAAUAUUGGGCAAUGGGCGAAAGCCUGACCCAGCAACGCCGCGUGAAGGAAGAAGGUCUUCGGAUUGUAAACUUCUUUUAUGAGGGACGAAGGACGUGACGGUACCUCAUGAAUAAGCCACGGCUAACUACGUGCCAGCAGCCGCGGUAAUACGUAGGUGGCAAGCGUUAUCCGGAUUUACUGGGUGUAAAGGGCGCGUAGGCGGGGAUGCAAGUCAGAUGUGAAAUCCAUGGGCUCAACCCAUGAACUGCAUUUGAAACUGUAUCUCUUGAGUGCUGGAGAGGUAGACGGAAUUCCUAAUGUAGCGGUGAAAUGCGUAGAUAUUAGGAAGAACACCAGUGGCGAAGGCGGUCUACUGGACAGUAACUGACGCUGAGGCGCGAAAGCGUGGGGGGCAAACAGGAUUAGAUACCCGGUA